This is a long non-coding RNA of Panicum hallii, 1905 nucleotides long. RefSeq lists it as uncharacterized. The transcript has 6 exons. Lineage: Eukaryota; Viridiplantae; Streptophyta; Magnoliopsida; Poales; Poaceae. The record is from RefSeq and is a predicted model, not a curated record.
CUCGACGGCUCCGACUCCGACUCCGAACGCACCACCGCAGAAAUCUCCCCUCCCUCCCGCGGUCCUGCCUGCUGCCUCCCAGUCUCGGCCCUGCGUCCUCCCUCGGGGCCCGCGCGUCCGACGGCGUGCGGCGCACGCGCUGCAUCGGUUCUUCAUGGGAUAUCAUCGUUCCUUGGCUCCUUGCGGGCCAUCCGCAAUUCAGCAUCGUCGUGCCGUGUCUCCUGGCAACGGGGGGAUGAGUAUCCCCACCUGAUUAAUUUACCAUUGAUCCCGGCAACUGCCGGUAGUGGACGGUGCGAGCACCGGGGUACAACAGGUGUGCCAAGGCACAGAUUAAAGAGCAAGGCUGAAAGAAUCCCAGUGCAAAAUUGCUGUCCUGAGAGAUAAGCUUCUGGUUCCCCGAGAGCUGCUGGUUCAUAGUGAGGGUAUCGGAGGCAUGCAAUGGAGACUGUUUGAGAGACAGAAGCAGUAAAAGCAAGGAUAGGGUGCAUGAACAAAGCCGUGUAGCCAUACAAGAAAUCAAGGCGGAAAAGAUGGCCUUCACUUUCCAAGUCUGCUUCUCUCUGGGGGAAUCCGGUGCUGUGACGCUCUCCUGAUGUUGAAGCCGUUAGUUAAAAAUGGCCCUUCUUUGGAUGUACAUUUCAGUCAGCAAUGAUGCUAUAUUCUGAACAACGGUCUGUGAUAAUUCUGGUUAUCAAGUAGGGUCUAUUCUAUGCAGGCUGACUCGUAUUGUGUCUGCAUUCCCCAGGAUCGUUGAAUUGGCAGAGAAAUAGGGGAUCAUGAUGCCGGCCAGGCUCUGAUAAACGUUAAGAACAUAGUAUGUUGCUGAAUCUCCACCCUAUGACAAGGGAUGGUGGCAGCCCAAGAUGAGCUGAUGACUAUGCAGUCAGUGGUCAGCCAGCAGGAACGACCUCUGCCAUGUUCAAAGCUGAAAGAAUCCUAGCACGAAAUUGCCAUCCUGAGAGAUCAUCUUCUGGUUCCCAGAGAGCCGCUGGUUUGCUGUGAGGGUAUCAGAUGCAUGAGAUGGAGAACUUUGCAGAGAAAGAAGCAGUAUAAGUAAGGAUAUGCCAUGUGGAGAAAGCCAGGUCGCCAUUCACAGAGUCAAAGGAAAGGAAGGGUGGCUUCUAUUUUUGAGGACAGAAAGAACUUGGUUUGUUUGUUGUGGCCUUGUCGAGAGAUCCGUGGGCUUCAGUACGAGACACCACUGGGCCUUAAGGUUAUACUCAGGUGGCCGUUGUGCUUCUCAAAAAAGAAAAGAAAAGCGUGAGAGCACGUAUGGACACGUGAGAGCACGUAUUGGCAUGAACUUCGAUCCGUCGUCUAUGAGUUUUGUGGUCUAGAAGAUGGAUAGCUGAGAUGAGACCUGGGAGCAGGCAUAUGCAUGAACAGGAUGGUGCGCGAGUGAUUAAUUAGUUCGAAAAUCUCAUACUUGAAUGCAUUUUUCUAUGAGUUGGUAAUUUUGGAGGCGCUCUUAGCUACGAAACACGGGGGUGGAGGGCCUAGCAACCACACGUGCAGGUAGUUGGACUGGAUCAUUGUUGUUAGCUACGAACGAGACACGAGCGCCUUAUCCGGACUAGUCAUGUUCUAUUAUGUUGUUGUCCAAGUCCUGUUGCCAUCACAUCAACCACCGAGAGUACCUUGCUGGCUAGGUUCCUUAUGGUACAGUAUAUCUUUACCCACUCAUGUGAGUUUCUUACUCAGUACGGAUGCUGGAAAACAAGCUGUAUAUGGCAACCUCAUCGAUUUCACUAUACAUUUGCCAAGUUGUUGGACACAAUUUAAGUUUUUUUUAUAGAAAUAGUAGGCUGUUUACGUGCUAAAUGUCACUGAGAGUGUGUUAGUGUGAGCAUCAGCGUCUGUACUGUAUCCCAAAAAUUACGCAAAAAAUAAAGAUAGGCAUGC